GUGUCAGCAGCCGCGGUAAUACGUAGGGGGCAAGCGUUGUCCGGAAUCAUUGGGCGUAAAGCGCGUGUAGGCGGCUCGGAAAGUCUGGUGUGAAAUCUCGGGGCUCAACCCUGAGCGGUCACUGGAUACUGUCGAGCUUGAGUCCGGAAGAGGAGAGUGGAAUUCCUGGUGUAGCGGUGGAAUGCGCAGAUAUCAGGAGGAACACCUAUGGCGAAGGCAGCUCUCUGGUACGUGACUGACGCUGAGACGCGAAAGCGUGGGGAGCGAACAGGAUUAGAUACCCUGGUAGUCCACGCCGUAAACGAUGGAUGCUAGGUGUGGGUGGUGUCGACUCCAUCCGUGCCGAAGCUAACGCAUUAAGCAUCCCGCCUGGGGAGUACGGCCGCAAGGCUAAA
This 395-nucleotide ribosomal RNA is filed under the name uncultured bacterium. Its description in RNAcentral is "bacterial SSU rRNA". It matches the Rfam family "Bacterial small subunit ribosomal RNA", at positions 505 to 898 of the family's 1533-position model. The record is from RNAcentral.